This 519-nucleotide ribosomal RNA is filed under the name uncultured bacterium. RNAcentral's name for it is "bacterial SSU rRNA". It matches the Rfam family "Bacterial small subunit ribosomal RNA", at positions 355 to 865 of the family's 1533-position model. The record is from RNAcentral.
UGGGGAAUAUUGCACAAUGGGCGAAAGCCUGAUGCAGCCAUGCCGCGUGUAUGAAGAAGGCCUUCGGGUUGUAAAGUACUUUCAGUUGUGAGGAAGGGGGUAACGUUAAUAGCGUUAUCUCUUGACGUUAGCAACAGAAGAAGCACCGGCUAACUCCGUGCCAGCAGCCGCGGUAAUACGGAGGGUGCGAGCGUUAAUCGGAAUUACUGGGCGUAAAGCGCAUGCAGGUGGUUCAUUAAGUCAGAUGUGAAAGCCCGGGGCUCAACCUCGGAACUGCAUUUGAAACUGGUGAACUAGAGUGCUGUAGAGGGGGGUAGAAUUUCAGGUGUAGCGGUGAAAUGCGUAGAGAUCUGAAGGAAUACCAGUGGCGAAGGCGGCCCCCUGGACAGACACUGACACUCAGAUGCGAAAGCGUGGGGAGCAAACAGGAUUAGAUACCCUGGUAGUCCACGCCGUAAACGAUGUCUACUUGGAGGUUGUGGCCUUGAGCCGUGGCUUUCGGAGCUAACGCGUUAAAGU